UGAGGAAUAUUGGACAAUGGUCGGAAGACUGAUCCAGCCAUGCCGCGUGCAGGAUGACGGCCUUAUGGGUUGUAAACUGCUUUUGUAAGGGAAGAAUAAGAGCUACGCGUAGUUUGAUGACGGUACCUUACGAAUAAGCAUCGGCUAACUCCGUGCCAGCAGCCGCGGUAAUACGGAGGAUGCGAGCGUUAUCCGGAAUCAUUGGGUUUAAAGGGUCCGUAGGCGGGCUAAUAAGUCAGGGGUGAAAUCGUUCAGCUCAACUGAGCAACUGCCUUUGAAACUGUUAGUCUUGAAUAGUUGUGAAGUAGUUGGAAUGUGUAGUGUAGCGGUGAAAUGCUUAGAGAUUACACAGAACACCGAUAGCGAAGGCAUAUUACUAACAAUUGAUUGACGCUGAUGGACGAAAGCGUGGGGAGCGAACA
This 422-nucleotide ribosomal RNA is filed under the name uncultured Capnocytophaga sp. RNAcentral describes it as "bacterial SSU rRNA". It matches the Rfam family "Bacterial small subunit ribosomal RNA", at positions 355 to 774 of the family's 1533-position model. The record is from RNAcentral. Lineage: Bacteria; Pseudomonadati; Bacteroidota; Flavobacteriia; Flavobacteriales; Flavobacteriaceae.